AGGGUUAUAAUUAAUUAUAAUAUUUGGUUUGCAACCAGAAAGUACUCACUAGAUGAGUUAACCUUU
This 66-nucleotide transfer RNA is filed under the name Macropsis notata. RNAcentral describes it as "tRNA-Ala". Lineage: Eukaryota; Metazoa; Arthropoda; Insecta; Hemiptera; Cicadellidae. The record is from RNAcentral.